UACGAAGGGAGCUAGCGUUGUUCGGAAUCACUGGGCGUAAAGCGCACGUAGGCGGACGUGUCAGUCAGGGGUGAAAUCCCGGAGCUCAACUUCGGAACUGCCUUUGAUACAGCACGUCUUGAGUCCGGAAGAGGUGGGUGGAAUUCCUAGUGUAGAGGUGAAAUUCGUAGAUAUUAGGAAGAACACCGGUGGCGAAGGCGGCUCACUGGCCCGCAACUGACGCUGAGGCGCGAAAGCGUGGGGAGCAAACAGG
This 253-nucleotide ribosomal RNA is filed under the name uncultured bacterium. RNAcentral's name for it is "partial 16S ribosomal RNA". It matches the Rfam family "Bacterial small subunit ribosomal RNA", at positions 524 to 776 of the family's 1533-position model. The record is from RNAcentral.